GAAGUUACUCAUGAUGGCGGAAAUGGCAGUUCAGACUGUCAAGCGGGACCGAGUUGAUAAAUUUGUAUGUCUUCUGGAAGACGAAAACUGCCUAAGAGGCCCACAGACAUAAUGCAAGACCAUCAACAAAAAUGAAACGACUACAGAUGCUUCUUGUUCCAAGCAAUUCGAGAGUUAAUUCUGUUCCACACUGAGGAUCGAACCCUGUGCAUGUGUAACAUUUGAUUCAGGACAGUCAGCUACAGCAGUUGAAUAGCUCUCGUAAAGCGUGCUCUUCGAUUAAGUGCCUUACAACCAAAGCCAAAAUCUUGUACGGACAACGAAAUAUCAAAUCGGCGGGAAAACACGAAAAAUCAAGUAGUGAUUGGUUGGAAAGGUUGGCGAAAAUUUUUAAGGCCAAUCACAGGGCGGAGUAAAGCUAAAACGAACCAAUCCCGAAUUGCUUUUGUUACUUAAUUGAAAAUUACUCUAUUAUAACUGUUAGAAAGAGAAACAAGUUAAAAUUUGAUUACUACACAGGAAGUGACCAGCCAUCGACGCAUAUACCAACAAAUUCAAAUACACAUUACAUAUUUCUUGGAAAACACUUUGCGUUGUAUUUUGAAAUUUUGAAAUCUCUUACAUAAAAUUAAGGAGAAAGUAAGUGAAGCAUGCAACUACGUCCGAUUUGUAAAAUGCACUUUAAUAGUUAAGUCUCUCUAUAAUCCGUAAUUUUCUGAUUUUAAUCAAAGCGAGGUAUAAUUUGAAUAGAUUUUUGUGUCUGUGAUAAAUUUUACGGUGUUUACCUUGUCCUUACACUGGAGGAAUGGAAUCUCAUCUCAUCACUUUUAAUAU
This is a non-coding RNA of Pocillopora verrucosa, 834 nucleotides long. The record is from RefSeq and is a predicted model, not a curated record. NCBI's taxonomy places the organism in Eukaryota, Metazoa, Cnidaria, Anthozoa, Scleractinia, Pocilloporidae.